CCUACGGGAGGCAGCAGUGGGGAAUAUUGCGCAAUGGGCGAAAGCCUGACGCAGCGACGCCGCGUGAGGGAUGAAGGCUUUCGGGUUGUAAACUUCUUUUGUCAGGGAAGAGUAGAAGACGGUACCUGACGAAUAAGCCACGGCUAACUACGUGCCAGCAGCCGCGGUAAUACGUAGGUGGCAAGCGUUGUCCGGAUUUACUGGGUGUAAAGGGCGUGUAGCCGGGUUGACAAGUCAGAUGUGAAAUCCUGCGGCUUAACCGCAGAACUGCAUUUGAAACUGUUGAUCUUGAGUACUGGAGAGGCAGACGGAAUGCCUAGUGUAGCGGUGAAAUGCGUAGAUAUUAGGAGGAACACCAGUGGCGAAGGCGGUCUGCUGGACAGCAACUGACGGUGAGGCGCGAAAGCGUGGGGAGCAAACAGGAUUAGAUACCCGAGUAGUC
RNAcentral lists this ribosomal RNA (442 nucleotides) under uncultured bacterium. RNAcentral's name for it is "partial 16S ribosomal RNA". It matches the Rfam family "Bacterial small subunit ribosomal RNA", at positions 338 to 795 of the family's 1533-position model. The record is from RNAcentral.